UUUUGGACAAUGGGCGAAAGCCUGAUCCAGCAAUGCCGCGUGCAGGAAGAAGGCCUUCGGGUUGUAAACUGUUUUUGUACGGAACGAAACGGUCCUUUCUAAUAAAGAGGGCUAAUGACGGUACCGUAAGAAUAAGCACCGGCUAACUACGUGCCAGCAGCCGCGGUAAUACGUAGGGUGCGAGCGUUAAUCGGAAUUACUGGGCGUAAAGCGUGCGCAGGCGGUUCUAUAAGACAGAUGUGAAAUCCCCGGGCUCAACCUGGGAAUGGCAUUUGUGACUGUAGAGCUAGAGUACGGUAGAGGGGGAUGGAAUUCCGCGUGUAGCAGUGAAAUGCGUAGAUAUGCGGAGGAACACCGAUGGCGAAGGCAAUCCCCUGGACCUGUACUGACGCUCAUGCACGAAA
Molecule: ribosomal RNA, 404 nt
Filed under: uncultured bacterium
Lineage: Bacteria
Description: bacterial SSU rRNA
Rfam family: Bacterial small subunit ribosomal RNA
Source: RNAcentral